Molecule: ribosomal RNA, 434 nt
Filed under: uncultured bacterium
Lineage: Bacteria
Description: partial 16S ribosomal RNA
Rfam family: Bacterial small subunit ribosomal RNA
Source: RNAcentral
AGCGAACGCUGGCGGCAGGCCUAACACAUGCAAGUCGAACGAACCUUUCGGGGUUAGUGGCGGACGGGUGAGUAACACGUGGGAACGUGCCUUUAGGUUCGGAAUAACUCAGGGAAACUUGUGCUAAUACCGAAUGUGCCCUUCGGGGGAAAGAUUUAUCGCCUUUAGAGCGGCCCGCGUCUGAUUAGCUAGUUGGUUGAGGUAAUGGCUCACCAAGGCGACGAUCAGUAGCUGGUCUGAGAGGAUGAUCAGCCACAUUGGGACUGAGACACGGCCCAAACUCCUACGGGAGGCGGCAGAGGGGAAUCUUGCGCAAUGGGCGAAAGCCUGACGCAGCCAUGCCGCGUGAAUGAUGAAGGUCUUAGGAAUGUAAAAUUCUUUCACCGGGGACGAUAAUGACGGUACCCGGAGAAGAAGCCCCGGCUAACUUCGUG